ACGCACGCUGGCGGCGUGCUUCACACCUGCCAGUCGAACGGAAAGGCCCUGCUUUUGUGGGGUGCUCGAGUGGCGAACGGGUGAGUAACACGUGAGUAACCUGCCCUUGACUUUGGGAUAACUUCAGGAAACUGGGGCUAAUACCGGAUAGGAGCUCCUGCUACAUGGUGGGGGUUGGAAAGUUUCGGCGGUUGGGGAUGGACUCGCGGCUUAUCAGCUUGUUGGUGGGGUAGUGGCUUACCAAGGCUUUGACGGGUAGCCGGCCUGAGAGGGUGACCGGCCACAUUGGGACUGAGAUACGGCCCAGACUCCUACGGGAGGCAGCAGUGGGGAAUAUUGCACAAUGGGCGGAAGCCUGAUGCAGCAACGCCGCGUGCGGGAUGACGGCCUUCGGGUUGUAAACCGCUUUCGCCUGUGACGAAGCGUGAGUGACGGUAAUGGGUAAAGAAGCACCGGCUAACUACGUG
This 467-nucleotide ribosomal RNA is filed under the name uncultured bacterium. RNAcentral describes it as "partial 16S ribosomal RNA". It matches the Rfam family "Bacterial small subunit ribosomal RNA", at positions 29 to 507 of the family's 1533-position model. The record is from RNAcentral.